This 460-nucleotide ribosomal RNA is filed under the name uncultured bacterium. Its description in RNAcentral is "partial 16S ribosomal RNA". It matches the Rfam family "Bacterial small subunit ribosomal RNA", at positions 338 to 795 of the family's 1533-position model. The record is from RNAcentral.
CCUACGGGUGGCAACAGUGAGGAAUAUUGGUCAAUGGACGAGAGUCUGAACCAGCCAAGUAGCGUGAAGGAUGACUGCCCUAUGGGUUGUAAACUUCUUUUAUAUGGGAAUAAAACGUUCCACGUGUGGGAUUUUGUAUGUACCAUAUGAAUAAGGAUCGGCUAACUCCGUGCCAGCAGCCGCGGUAAUACGGAGGAUCCGAGCGUUAUCCGGAUUUAUUGGGUUUAAAGGGAGCGUAGGUGGAUUGUUAAGUCAGUUGUGAAAGUUUGCGGCUCAACCGUAAAAUUGCAGUUGAAACUGGCAGUCUUGAGUACAGUAGAGGUGGGCGGAAUUCGUGGUGUAGCGGUGAAAUGCUUAGAUAUCACGAAGAACUCCGAUUGCGAAGGCAGUUCACUGGACUGCAACUGACACUGAGGCUCGAAAGUGUGGGUAUCAAACAGGAUUAGAUACCCCUGUAGUC